GGUAACUCCAUGAUUAUUGAUCAAUCACAAUGCAACAAAAAGAAAGCCAGUAUAGCCUCUGCUUCUGCUCUAUUUUUCACAAUACCUUAAUAAUUAUCAGCCAUGAAAUUGGUAGACAAGAUCCAAUGCCCUUAAUCUGGUUCCAUAAGGAUCCAAACCGUUUAUUUCUCUAGCAUCCCUAUCCUCAAGUAACCUUCUUUCCUCUGCCAUGGACGAUGGCGAAAGCGGCCGCUUGGGCUUCCUAUUCUUGAUAGAACAAUCCCUCAUCUUCUCCUCCACCUUGUCAAUUGUUGUGUUAGAAUUCUCAUCAGCUCCAGCUUCAUAAUCACCAUGGCCUACUUGCAUGGGCUUGUCCCUGUCGUCAAGGGAUGGAGGAGGGAAGAGAGAGAAUUGGGUUUGGGAAAUUAAUGAAGAGAGAUGUUGGUGGGCUAGAUGGAGGGAGGAGUAGAUUUGGACGAGUUGGUCUGGGUGAUUGGUGGACGGGAUUUGUUUAGCCAUGAGGGUUGCUUGCUCUAAAGAAAGUAUAAGGUCAGGCAAUGGGUUUAGUGAUGGCGCUUCUGAUGCAAAACUGUUCAUUUUCUCUCUAUCAGACUCAGUCGGCUAACUUCAGAGUUCUUUAGCUGGUAACCUAUGUAGAGGAUGACCAGAAAAGUCCUCUCUGGCAAAAGUGAUCAUUUUAUUUUUCUAUUAAUGGAAGUUGUUGUGGGAA
This 709-nucleotide unclassified non-coding RNA is filed under the name Hevea brasiliensis (rubber tree). The record is from RNAcentral. Lineage: Eukaryota; Viridiplantae; Streptophyta; Magnoliopsida; Malpighiales; Euphorbiaceae.